Molecule: unclassified non-coding RNA, 397 nt
Filed under: fungal sp.
Lineage: Eukaryota; Fungi
Description: partial internal transcribed spacer region
Rfam family: Eukaryotic small subunit ribosomal RNA (bases 1-46)
Source: RNAcentral
AAGUCGUAACAAGGUUUCCGUAGGUGAACCUGCGGAAGGAUCAUUAACACGUAUCCACGUAUCAAGCAACCGAGAAUAGUUUUCAACUCUCCCUCCUAAGGAUCAUGAGUGGGCCAGCCACAUCGACGCGAAUGGGCUCUUUAAUUUAGAGCGCGAUGGGUACGCUUAAAGCUGAGCUUAAACAACAAGCCAGACCACUGUAUUUCACAAGAGGCAACCUUCUUUACUACCGGUGAUCCUACUCCCUGCCGUACGUAGUGAAGAUUUUACAACACGAUAAACACCACUUUUUUGCUAGUUGACUUUUAUCUGUCGGUCAGUGCGCAAGCAAUGGCUCACACGUUUGAUUAUUUGAACGUUAAAAAUACAACUCUUAGCAAUGGAUAUCUUGGUUCUC